AACGAACGCUGGCGGCAUGCCUAACACAUGCAAGUCGAACGAGACCUCCGGGUCUAGUGGCGCACGGGUGCGUAACGCGUGGGAACCUGCCCUUAGGUGCGGAAUAACUCCCCGAAAGGGGUGCUAAUACCGGGUAAUGUCUUCGGACCAAAGGUUUAUCGCCGUUGGAUGGGCCCGCGGUGGAUUAGCUAGUUGGUAGGGUAAAAGCCUACCAAGGCGACGUUCCAUAGCUGGUUUGAGAGGAUGAUCAGCCACACUGGGACUGAGACACGGCCCAGACUCCUACGGGAGGCAGCAGUGGGGAAUAUUGGACAAUGGGCGAAAGCCUGAUCCAGCAAUGCCGCGUGAGUGAUGAAGGCCUUAGGGUUGUAAAGCUCUUUUACCCGGGAUGAUAAUGACGGUACCGGGAGAAUAAGCUCCGGCUAACUCCGUG
RNAcentral lists this ribosomal RNA (433 nucleotides) under uncultured bacterium. RNAcentral's name for it is "partial 16S ribosomal RNA". It matches the Rfam family "Bacterial small subunit ribosomal RNA", at positions 29 to 507 of the family's 1533-position model. The record is from RNAcentral.